AGUGAACGCUGGCGGCAGGCCUAACACAUGCAAGUCGAGCGGCAGCGCGUCCGACCACCCUCGGGUGGUCGGAUGGCGGCGAGCGGCGGACGGGUGAGGAAUGCAUCGGAAUCUGCCUCGUUGUGGGGGAUAACGUAGGGAAACUUACGCUAAUACCGCAUACGACCUACGGGUGGAAAGUGGGGGACCUUCGGGCCUCACGCGAUGAGAUGAGCCGAUGCCGGAUUAGCUAGUUGGCGGGGUAAAGGGCCCACCAAGGCGACGAUCCGUAGCUGGUCUGAGAGGAUGAUCAGCCACACGUGGAACUGAGACGACGGUCCAGACUCC
This 327-nucleotide ribosomal RNA is filed under the name uncultured bacterium. RNAcentral's name for it is "bacterial SSU rRNA". It matches the Rfam family "Bacterial small subunit ribosomal RNA", at positions 28 to 339 of the family's 1533-position model. The record is from RNAcentral.